GAUGAACGCUGGCGGCGUGCCUAAUACAUGCAAGUCGAGCGAACGGACGAGAAGCUUGCUUCUCUGAUGUUAGCGGCGGACGGGUGAGUAACACGUGGAUAACCUACCUAUAAGACUGGGAUAACUUCGGGAAACCGGAGCUAAUACCGGAUAAUAUUUUGAACCGCAUGGUUCAAAAGUAAAAGACGGUCUUGCUGUCACUUAUAGAUGGAUCCGCGCUGCAUUAGCUAGUUGGUAAGGUAACGGCUUACCAAGGCAACGAUGCAUAGCCGACCUGAGAGGGUGAUCGGCCACACUGGAACUGAGACACGGUCCAGACUCCUACGGGAGGCAGCAGUAGGGAAUCUUCCGCAAUGUGCGAAAGCCUGACGGAGCAACGCCGCGUGAGUGAUGAAGGUCUUCGGAUCGUAAAACUCUGUUAUUAGGGAAGAACAUAUGUGUAAGUAACUGUGCACAUCUUGACGGUACCUAAUCAGAAAGCCACGGCUAACUACGUG
Molecule: ribosomal RNA, 497 nt
Filed under: uncultured bacterium
Lineage: Bacteria
Description: partial 16S ribosomal RNA
Rfam family: Bacterial small subunit ribosomal RNA
Source: RNAcentral